UCAGUGCUGGUGGCAGGCCUGAGUCAGCAGGGAAUGGUUUUCCUGCCUCCAUCUGCCCCAUGCUGGCAGCUCGCCGAGGCCCUCACUGCAGUUCUGCUGAACCCAUCUGAAUUCUGCCCAGCCUAUUUUGGGCUGGGAAACCCCUCAGUGCAUUCCUUUCCCCUUCUCAUCUUCCCUUUUUCCAGCAUCAAACCAUCUCACACAGGCGGCUCCCUUUCGCCCCUCCUGUGAUGUGUGUGGUUGUGUUCAACAUUUCAAACAAAAGCUGAGCAGAAGUGAAAGAAAGUACCAGAAAGACAAUAGGAGGUGGCUUCUACCUCCCGGAACCGGCAGUGACAGGAGCUGGGCCCUCACUUUGCCUUUCUGGAGGUUCUCACAGGGGAUAGAUGCACCUUCCCUGCCGUGGGCAAGGACUGGAACAGGCAGGCAGUGUCCUGAGGUGCGGGCUGUGCGGCAGGUGCAGAGCUUCAGCCCCGAGGUGCUGCUGGCCUGAGGGAGAGCAGGAGCUGGGAAAAUGAAACUCACAGCAGCAGCCGGCAUGUGAGGGAGCACCUUUAGCAAAACCCAGAGGUACAAUAAACCACUGCACGCAACAACCUGCUCCCAUGAUUUACAGCAGGACCGGCACCAGCUGUCCCGUGUGCACUGUGGCUGAACAGGUGAUGCCAUUGGAGUUGAAUGGGACAGAACCAGGGCCAUGCGGAGUGCUGGGGCUCCUUCCCAGCCCCCCGGGUGCUGCAGAAAGGCGUUGUGAGGCUGCCGGCCCUGCUCCAGGCAUGGGUGGUGCCUUUGCUUCCAUCUACCCCUUAUGGCUUUAUUGGACUAUUUAUUUGCUCGAGGUGAACAGCAGGUAGUUGAGGUUUACUGGUCUGCUUUGCAAACAGUUUGUUUGAUAACGGCGGGGUGUUUUAUUGCUGCCAGGAUGCUGAGCUGGUUUUGAGAGAUCCCUUGUGCUGCGCAUGGUGUGUGGCACAUCCCACCUGGCCGUGCUCUGCAGCAGUGUCCUGGGAUCACAGCAGCUCUCUGGGGGUCACAGCAGCUCUGGGCUGGGACUUCAGCACCAAUGAGGAACACGUUUUACAGCUACCAGGAGGGAACUGCGAGGCCACUAUUCUCCUAUGCAAUCCAGGAUUGCUGCAGGGAAACAUCCCAUGGAAAUGUCCUGUCCCUCUGCCCCAGCCUCUGGGAUGGUAUUUCCCCAUAAAGACUUUUGGCCGGCUUGAUAGCCCUGGAGGGGCUUUAUCUGGGUAUGAAUAAAA
This is a long non-coding RNA of Tympanuchus pallidicinctus (lesser prairie-chicken), 1259 nucleotides long. RefSeq lists it as uncharacterized. The record is from RefSeq and is a predicted model, not a curated record. The transcript is spliced from 3 exons. Lineage: Eukaryota; Metazoa; Chordata; Aves; Galliformes; Phasianidae.